Molecule: ribosomal RNA, 273 nt
Filed under: uncultured bacterium
Lineage: Bacteria
Description: partial 16S ribosomal RNA
Rfam family: Bacterial small subunit ribosomal RNA
Source: RNAcentral
UACGAAGGGUGCAAGCGUUAAUCGGAAUUACUGGGCGUAAAGCGCGCGUAGGUGGUUCAGCAAGUUGGAUGUGAAAGUCCUGGGCUCAACCUGGGAACUGCAUCCAAAACUACUGAGCUAGAGUACGGUAGAGGGUAGUGGAAUUUCCUGUGUAGCGGUGAAAUGCGUAGAUAUAGGAAGGAACACCAGUGGCGAAGGCGGCCUGCUGGGCAUUAGCUGACACUGAGGCGCGACAGCGUGGGGAGCAAACAGGAUUAGAAACCCCGGUAGUCC